Molecule: long non-coding RNA, 423 nt
Filed under: Salvia miltiorrhiza (redroot sage)
Lineage: Eukaryota; Viridiplantae; Streptophyta; Magnoliopsida; Lamiales; Lamiaceae
Description: long non-coding RNA (SMIL_LNC004107)
Source: RNAcentral
CACGACCCAGUAUUACUAAUCCAGAUUUCUUAGGAUUAAUUAUACCACCUCCCCCCUAGGAUUAACUUAAACCAGGAUAUUAUGUAUUUAGUCAUGAUAGCAAACACCAACUCAGUAUUAAUAAUCUGACAUUAUCCACGCUAAAUAUCCUGGAUACAAAUUAUCCUACAUAAUCCAAUUAGACUAAAUAUACCUAAAUAAAAGCCCAAACAUAAACGGCCCAUGUUUAAAUUUAACAAAUACAGAAAAGGUCAAAGAGAAGAAUAUGAAAGGAAAUUUAAAACCCUAUUUGUUCAUCUUCAUAGGUAGCGCCGCUUCUUGAAUCUCCUGUCUUCCCACUUUUUUCAUCUCAUCUUCUUUUUUCUUAUUUUUCACUAUGAUCUUCUUCUUCCAACAAAUAUAUCUAACGUCACCCAAACCCAC